This 29-nucleotide non-coding RNA is filed under the name Mus musculus (house mouse). The record is from RNAcentral. Lineage: Eukaryota; Metazoa; Chordata; Mammalia; Rodentia; Muridae.
UGCACAGAAGAUGAGCAUUUUCUGUGAGU